GGCCCCGUAGCUCAGUCGGAUAGAGCACAAGAUUCCUAAUCUUGGUGCCACAGGUUCGAUUCCUGUCGGGGUCACCA
RNAcentral lists this transfer RNA (77 nucleotides) under Maridesulfovibrio hydrothermalis AM13 = DSM 14728. Its description in RNAcentral is "tRNA-Arg (CCT) (tRNA-Arg-CCT-1-1)". It matches the Rfam family "tRNA". Rfam says of the family: Transfer RNA (tRNA) molecules are approximately 80 nucleotides in length. Their secondary structure includes four short double-helical elements and three loops (D, anti-codon, and T loops). The record is from RNAcentral. Lineage: Bacteria; Pseudomonadati; Thermodesulfobacteriota; Desulfovibrionia; Desulfovibrionales; Desulfovibrionaceae.